AGUAAAGUCAGCUAAACAAGCUAUCGGGCCCAUACCCCGAAAAUGCCAUAUUGGCCUCUACUA
This 63-nucleotide transfer RNA is filed under the name Xenopeltis hainanensis. RNAcentral's name for it is "tRNA-Met". The record is from RNAcentral. Lineage: Eukaryota; Metazoa; Chordata; Lepidosauria; Squamata; Xenopeltidae.